AUGAAAGGGUCGAAACAAUUAUAGAUGAAAUUAAUUCGAUGAGGGAGAGAAAGAGAAGAAUACAGAGAGGGGGGAGAAGGCCCAAGGCUCUCCGGCCACAGCGACAUCGCUGACGACGGCGGAUUGAAGCUCGGAUUUCUGAUGGCAGCGCCCGAUACUUGGAUGGUGGUCGAUCAUCCGAAAAGACUGGUCGUUGGGCUGAUCUGGUGGUGGUUAAAGAUCAGGUGAUGGAUUAACCGAGGGUUGAAUGGCACCAUCAUCCUCUUAAAUCGAUCAAGCUUGCAACCUGGCCAUAAUGCUGAAUCUUCCAACAUCUGACAUGAUAGAAUCAUGCUCCAUAGCUGGUCCUGGCUUUAUAAACGUUAAGUUAUCAACACAAUGGAUAGCCAAGAGAAUCCAGAAUAUGCUAUAACAGAUGGCAUUGACACAUGGGCACCAAGGCUCUCUGUCAAAAGGGCGAUAGUUGACUUUUCAUCACCCAACAUUGCAAAGGAAAUGCAUGUAGGUCAUUUGAGGUCAACUAUCAUUGGAGACACGAUAGCCCGUAUGCUUGAGUAUUCUAAAGUUGAUGUGCUUCGCAGAAACCAUGUUGGGGAUUGGGGCACUCAGUUUGGAAUGUUGAUUGAGUUUCUCUUUGAGAAGUUCCAGAUGGGGAGGUUACUGAUCAGGAUAUUGGAGAACUAGAGGUACCCAUGUCAAGCUCCCUGGUCCUUUCUUGAAAGAACCAAAUACGAAUUUCACACCUCUUACAUUAAGAUGAUACGGUUCGUAUGAACUAGGAGGCGUUUACAAUAAGACGAUACGGCUUUGUGAGGCUUCAAAGAGUAUUAACAAGUAAAAAUGUGAAGCGACUAAUGGUGACUGCCAUGAAGCAGAUGCAGCUGUUGGUUAGAGUCCAAACACAAAUUCAGUCACGUAGAAUCCAUAUGUCAAAGAAUCAAGCACAAGAACUAUCAUCAUUAGAACCUUUUAGGGGCUUUUGUUGGAGUGUACUUGAAAGUCUGCAAGUGUGGGUGUGGGGGUUGAUUGCUGGAAGUGGGCUUUCGAUACAUCAGGUAUGUUCACUGUUCGAAGUUUCAGGAAUCAUCUGCAUCAGGCUAGGUUCUUGGACCUGGGAACGGGUUUUGUUGUAACAACUUGACGCCUAUUAAGGUUAAUUUCCUGGACUGGAGAGUGUCACUAAAUAGGGUCUCAACGAACCUGGAGGAUGUUUUGUCCAUGGUAUGUCCUUUGAUUCGUGCCAGCUGUACCGGAGACAGUGGAUUAUCAAAUUUAAUGAUAAUGUUCUGGGAGACUUCAAUGGUGAAGCUGUGAUAGGCCAGUUUCCCUUGUUAUGAUUGGGGGAGAAAGAGUUUGUUUACGAAUGCUGCAUAACUUCUACGGCUUCACCUGCAUCGAUAGAGGGUUCUUACAUGUUUAUCCCGGGCAGGCGUGUCGUGCUAUGCUCAUCAUAUCUUUUUUUAGCAUUUGUAUUAGAUAAAUUUGUAAAAUGUGUGUAAUCUGUUUGCAGAUUGGCGGAUCCACAACGAAGCCCCUUUGAGGUUGAAAUUGCUAGAUUUCCUUUGGUUUUGCCAGAGUACAUCUUCUGAUGCAACUAUUCUGUUAUCCAUGGUCACUAUCUUGGCUUAAAGCCGUUUGUUUGAUUUCUGUCUCGACCCGUUAGUUAUACUUGUUAGGUAACUGGCUCGGUCUUGGUCUUUUCGGGUUGGGUCUGUUCACAACUGAAUAUCGUUUUAAGGUUUGCUUUAUAUUCCCGUCUGUAUUGUUGACUCCGCUGCAACGCGCGGGCUCCCCACUAGUUCAUAUUUAAUAACCAAAAUAAUCUAGAUAACUUGACUUUAAAAGUAGAAUAGUGUAAUCCUUACGAAAUUUCUUA
This 1876-nucleotide long non-coding RNA is filed under the name Helianthus annuus (common sunflower). The record is from RNAcentral. Lineage: Eukaryota; Viridiplantae; Streptophyta; Magnoliopsida; Asterales; Asteraceae.